UGCCUGGUAACUGUGUUGCUGCUGUACCCAGUAGCUCUUGGAAGAAUUGGGUGAAGUGUUGUUGUAUCUGCUAUGGAUCAGUAAUUUUCAUCUGGUCUUCAGUAAGGAUACAACUCACCUUGUUUCUUGCUUGUCUGGCUUUCAUGUAGGCAUGGAAGUAUUUUGUAUUGUGAUCUCCCAGUUGGAUCCAAUUGGCUCUUGAUUUCUGCCUCAUUAUUUGUUCUUGGACAGCUUCCUAUUUUUCAAUGUUCUGUAAUAUCUGUUUUUCUUUUUGGAUAUCCUGCUUGUUGAAAUGGUCUUCAUUUAGCCUGCUCUGUGUAACAUUCAGUUCUUCUCUUAUUU
This 342-nucleotide long non-coding RNA is filed under the name Nicotiana benthamiana. Its description in RNAcentral is "long non-coding RNA (NBEN_LNC036053)". The record is from RNAcentral. Lineage: Eukaryota; Viridiplantae; Streptophyta; Magnoliopsida; Solanales; Solanaceae.